Molecule: ribosomal RNA, 1358 nt
Filed under: uncultured bacterium
Lineage: Bacteria
Description: bacterial SSU rRNA
Rfam family: Bacterial small subunit ribosomal RNA
Source: RNAcentral
GACGAACGCUGGCGGCGUGCUUAACACAUGCAAGUCGAACGAAGAACCCUAGCUUGCUGUGUGGAUUAAUGGAUAACAGUGGAUUAAGACGUAAUGAAGCUACCUUUAAGUCUAGCAUGACCCUGGGAAACUGACUCUAAUACCAGAUAACAGCUAUCUCCGCAUGACGCGUUGAUGGAGAGCGAUCUGUAUGGCUUAUAUUAUUCGCUCACGGACUAUCACCUUGCUGAUGAGGUAACGGCUCACCUAAGCGACCACCGGUACCCAGACUGAUAGGGUGACCGGACACGCUGACCACUGACAUUCGGACCGAACUCCUACCGAAAGUCCUACUGGAGAAUAUUGCGCAAUGAUACUCGAGCCUGAUGCACCAGACUCCACCCUGACGCAUCACGGUGCUUCGAGAUGGAUUCCUCUGUUGAACACGUAUUAUAAGAGAUUGACAGGUAACUACAGAAACAGCUCCGAGCUACCUACGUGUCCUCACGUCCCGGUAAUACGCUAGGGCACGAACGUUGUCCGGAAUUAUUGGACUUACUGAGCUUGUAGGCGGUUUGUCGCGUCUGCUGUGAAAGGCCGGAGCUCAAUUCCGUGUAUUGCAGUGGGUACGGGCAGACUAGAGUGCAGUAGGGGAGACUGGAAUUCCUGGUGUAGCGGUGGAAUGCGCAGAUAUCAGGAGGAACACCGAUGGCGAAGGCAGGUCUCUGGGCUGUAACUGACGCUGAGAAGCGAAAGCAUGGGGAGCGAACAGGAUUAGAUACCCUGGUAGUCCAUGCCGUAAACGUUGGGCACUAGGUGUGGGGGACAUUCCACGUUUUCCGCGCCGUAGCUAACGCAUUAAGUGCCCCGCCUGGGGAGUACGGCCGCAAGGCUAAAACUCAAAGAAAUUGACGGGGGCCCGCACAAGCGGCGGAGCAUGCGGAUUAAUUCGAUGCAACGCGAAGAACCUUACCAAGGCUUGACAUAUACUGGACCGCAUCAGAGAUGGUGUUUCCCUUCGGGGCUGGUAUACAGGUGGUGCAUGGUUGUCGUCAGCUCGUGUCGUGAGAUGUUGGGUUAAGUCCCGCAACGAGCGCAACCCUCGUUCUAUGUUGCCAGCACGUUAUGGUGGGGACCCAUAGGAGACUGCCGGGGUCAACUCGGAGGAAGGUGGGGAUGACGUCAAAUCAUCAUGCCCCUUAUGUCUGGGCUUCACGCAUGCUACAAUGGCCGGUACAGAGGGUUGCGAUACUGUGAGGUGGAGCUAAUCCCUAAAAACCGGUCUCAGUUCGGAAUGGGGUCUGCAACUCGACCCCAUGAAGUCGGAGUCGCUAGUAAUCGCAGAUCAGCAACGCUGCGGUGAAUACGUUCCCGGGCCU